UUGAACUGAAGAGUUUGAUCCUGGCUCAGAUUGAACGCUGGCGGCAUGCCUUACACAUGCAAGUCGAACGGCAGCACGGGCUUCGGCCUGGUGGCGAGUGGCGAACGGGUGAGUAAUACAUCGGAACGUGCCCUGUAGUGGGGGAUAACUAGUCGAAAGAUUAGCUAAUACCGCAUACGACCUGAGGGUGAAAGCGGGGGACCG
Molecule: ribosomal RNA, 204 nt
Filed under: Cupriavidus sp. GA3-3
Lineage: Bacteria; Pseudomonadati; Pseudomonadota; Betaproteobacteria; Burkholderiales; Burkholderiaceae
Description: partial 16S ribosomal RNA
Rfam family: Bacterial small subunit ribosomal RNA
Source: RNAcentral